GAUGAAGAACGCAGCGAAAUGCGAUAAGUAAUGCGAAUUGCAGAAUCCGUGAGUCAUCGAAUCUUUGAACGCACAUUGCGCCCCCUGGCAUUCCGGGGGGCAUGCCUGUCCGAGCGUCAUUUCUGCCCUCCAGCCCGGCUGGGUGUUGGGCGCUGUCCCCCCGGGGACACGCCCCAAAGGCAGUGGCGGCGCCGCGUCGGGUCCUCGAGCGUAUGGGGCUUUGUCACCCGCUCGGGACGGACUCGUCGGCGCUGGUCUUCCUCCAGGCGACCCUUCGGGGCUCGUCUUCCUUCGGUUGACCUCGGAUCAGGUAGGGUUACCCGCUGAACUUAAGCAUAUCAAUAAGCGGAGGA
This 353-nucleotide unclassified non-coding RNA is filed under the name soil metagenome. Its description in RNAcentral is "partial contains 5.8S ribosomal RNA, internal transcribed spacer 2, and large subunit ribosomal RNA". The stretch from base 1 to 119 matches the Rfam family "5.8S ribosomal RNA", at positions 35 to 154 of the family's 154-position model. The record is from RNAcentral.